RNAcentral lists this ribosomal RNA (274 nucleotides) under Cynanchum erythranthum. Its description in RNAcentral is "partial 26S ribosomal RNA". The record is from RNAcentral. Lineage: Eukaryota; Viridiplantae; Streptophyta; Magnoliopsida; Gentianales; Apocynaceae.
AUUGCGUCGUCCCCCCCCAACCCCCUCACCCGUGGUGUCCUGCUGCAUGCAAGGGUCGCGGGCCUUAGCGUGGGGGCGGAAGUUGGCUUCCCGUGCAGUGUUUGCGGCUAGCCUGAAACACGGUUCCCUCGCCGCGGACGUCGCGACAAGUGGUGGUCGCCGAGAUUGUACGCGAGUUGCCGGCAAGCUGCGUCGAGGGGAGCAUUUCGGACCCUGUGCGAGAUUGAGCCCUUCACCGAGGGGCAUCUCCAACGACUGCGACCCCAGGUCAGGC